UUUCUGGAAAAAAGACUACUCUUGAUGGUAAAUAGUAAAGUCCUUAAAUUAUGGCAGUAUUCUCAUUAGUCAUUAAACAUUAAAAAAAAAAAUUGCAAUGCAAUUGUCAGUAAACAGGAACCAGCAGGUGCACACACUACACCACAAUAAUAGCCUACAUCUGUAGGAAAGAAUAAUAUGCUUCAACCAUCAAAAAAAUUCUCAAACCCGUCAGGAAUUUGUGAUCAGCAAUUGCUCAACUGCAUCUCUGUUUCAAGGACAGGGCUGAAAAAUUGCCAACUUGAAUCAUGAAAAACACCAAAAUAAUCAUCUGAAACUGUCUUGAUACUAAAUUCAUUUGUGAAUCUUCGGACAGCCAGGAUAUAGUUGGUGGAGUGAAUGAUAGCUGAGUUCUUGAACUCUAACAGAUGCUGCUCAUAUGUCUGAAAGCUAUUCCCAAACAAUACUAUACAAUUCAACUGCCGCACUCCCCAAUUCGCUUGUAAAAGAUUAUCAUAUAACUCAGCCUCACAAUGUGGCAUGAAAAACAUCGUUGGUUUUUUAA
RNAcentral lists this long non-coding RNA (544 nucleotides) under Rosa chinensis. Its description in RNAcentral is "sRNA RchiOBHm_Chr7g0215521". Lineage: Eukaryota; Viridiplantae; Streptophyta; Magnoliopsida; Rosales; Rosaceae. The record is from RNAcentral.